This 1525-nucleotide ribosomal RNA is filed under the name uncultured bacterium. RNAcentral describes it as "bacterial SSU rRNA". It matches the Rfam family "Bacterial small subunit ribosomal RNA". The record is from RNAcentral.
AGAGUUUGAUCCUGGCUCAGGACGAACGCUGGCGGCGUGCUUAACACAUGCAAGUCGAACGAGGUUAAUUGAAGGAAGUCUUCGGAUGGAAUUUGGUUAACCGAGUGGCGGACGGGUGAGUAACGCGUGAGGAACCUGUCUUCUACAGGGGGAUAACGGUCCGAAAGGAUUGCUAAUACCGCAUAAGACCACGAGGCCGCAUGGCUAUGAGGUCAAAGGAGAAAUCCGGUAGAAGGUGGACUCGCGUCCCAUUAGAUAGUUGGUGAGGUAACGGCCCACCAAGUCGACGAUGGGUAGCCGACCUGAGAGGGUGAUCGGCCACAUUGGAACUGAGAUACGGUCCAGACUCCUACGGGAGGCAGCAGUGGGGAAUAUUGGGCAAUGGGCGAAAGCCUGACCCAGCAACGCCGCGUGAGGGAAGAAGGUCUUCGGGUUGUAAACCUCUGUCCUUGGUGAAAAGGAAGGAUGGUAGCCAAGGAGGAAGCUCCGGCUAACUACGUGCCAGCAGCCGCGGUAAUACGUAGGAGCGAGCGUUGUCCGGAAUGAUUGGGCGUAAAGGGCGUGUAGGCGGCCAAUUAAGUCUGAAGUGAAAUCCCUGGUUUCAAGUCAGGGUCUGCUUUGGAAACUGGUUGGCUUGAGUGCAGGAGAGGCUAUCGGAAUUCCCGGUGUAGCGGUGAAAUGCGUGGAGAUCGGGAGGAACACCAGUGGCGAAGGCGGGUAGCUGGACUGUAACUGACGCUAAGGCGCGAAAGUGUGGGGAGCAAACAGGAUUAGAUACCCUGGUAGUCCACACUGUAAACGAUGAAUGCUAGGUGUAGGGGGUAUCGACCCCUUCUGUGCCGCAGUAAACACAAUAAGCAUUCCGCCUGGGGAGUACGGCCGCAAGGUUGAAACUCAAAGGAAUUGACGGGGGCCCGCACAAGCAGCGGAGCAUGUGGUUUAAUUCGACGCAACGCGAAGAACCUUACCAGGUCUUGACAUCCAAUUAAAGCUGCAGAGAUGCAGUGUGAGCUUGCUCAAAUUGAGACAGGUGGUGCAUGGUUGUCGUCAGCUCGUGUCGUGAGAUGUUGGGUUAAGUCCCGCAACGAGCGCAACCCUUGUUUACAGUUACUAACGUGUUAUGGCGAGGACUCUGUAGAGACUGCCGGGGACAACUCGGAGGAAGGUGGGGACGACGUCAAAUCAUCAUGCCCCUUAUGACCUGGGCUACACACGUGCUACAAUGGCCGUCACAAAGAGGAGCGAGUGCGUAAGUACGAGCAGAUCUCAAAAAAGCGGUCUCAGUUCGGAUUGUGGGCUGCAACCCGCCCACAUGAAGUCGGAGUUGCUAGUAAUCGCGGAUCAGCAUGCCGCGGUGAAUACGUUCCCGGGCCUUGUACACACCGCCCGUCACACCAUGGGAGUUGAUAGCACCCGAAAGUUGUGAGGUAACCGCAAGGAGCCAGCAACCUAAGGUGAGAUGAAUGACUGGGGUGAAGUCGUAACAAGGUAGCCGUAUCGGAAGGUGCGGCUGGAACACCUCCUU